Molecule: long non-coding RNA, 1385 nt
Organism: Myotis lucifugus (little brown bat)
Lineage: Eukaryota; Metazoa; Chordata; Mammalia; Chiroptera; Vespertilionidae
Exons: 2
Source: RefSeq, a predicted model, not a curated record
AGUCGUGAAAUGGUGAAGUUGGGCAUCUCAGGAGCUCUAGGUACUGCCGGCCUCCAAGUUGUUUCUUGGCAACUUUACUUGGUGUGAGAUUCUUGAAUCCGAGGGGUGAAAAUGGGGUAGGUGGAACUGACCUUGACUUAAGAAUUCUGAUUUCUUUUCAUGUGGAAAUCUGACUUGGACUCAGAUGCAGCCUGAUUGUCCAACUUUUGUCAUAAACUGCUACUGCUUGCCCUAUUCAGGAAGGGAGGCAGGGAGGGGAGCACAUCUAAACCUAUAAAGAAAAUUCCGGCUUCCUUCUGCGUUUUUCAGCUGGAAAGGAAUGAGAUGGUUUUGCUAGGUGUGAGUCCCAUAGUUCUAAUGAGCUCUAACUGCAGCUGAGCGGCUGGACACAUCACAAGCCUACUGAGACCAGGACCAGAUGCUCCAGAGAAACGGUGGCCAGGCGAAGGUCAUGCUUCCUUUCCAUCUGACAGCAUUUUACUCAGAUGGUGGUCAAGUAGUAAUAUUUAUGAGCUUCUAUGAGUGCUAGGCGAAGCAGAGGUCUGAUUACUCAUAUCAAAGAGAGGCUCUGCCAAAGUGGGCUGAAUAUUAAAGUUAGUGAGUGAAAGGUUUAAAAAAAAAGGUCCUAAUUCAUCCCAUGCUGAAAGAUGAAAGCUUUGGAGAUAUCGGUAAUUCCUCUCAUUCCACCCACCCACGUCCAGACCAAUGGAAACAGGAAGAGCCUCAGAACGCAGUUUCGAGCAGGAUAAAGUGCCGCAAUGGUGCCCUUGAACUGAAAGCUCACCUGCAGCACUGGGAGAGAGGCGAGAGGAUGGAGAUUUCGUCAUGGGAGUGUCGCCCAAACCUAGGAGGAGAACCAGCAUUUCAGGCUGCCGAGAAAGCGAUGCUUUGUCGGGAUUUACUUAGACGGUUGAUGGAACCUCCCUGAAGACCAGGGUGGUGGUGUGGUGGGAGCAUGAAACCCGCGGAUCCGGCUGCUCUUGAGAAAGCAAUGACUGUACCAAGAUGUUAGUGAGGUUGUGCCAAAUGGGCUGAUUUCCCGACACAAACUCAUUUCCCUUCUGGUUGAAAUACAAUCACGUCCUCCUCUCAGAACUGCUUUCAUGCUGUGUUGCCACAGACCACGUGUGCUCACUCUGGGCUAACUGAGUCCCAACCCCAUCCCGACCUCAGUCACUGCUCUGGCUCAGCGGUUGAGUAAGGCCUGUCCAGAGGGUGACACAUGGAUCCGGAUUCGGGCUAUUACAGGAGGAAUGCAAAGAGAGACAAACAGCCAAUUUUCACCUUUUGACCUCAAAACUUGUCUUCAGAAGAAGGGGAGCUUGAUAUCUACUCAUAAACAGAUUAAAAAGAGAAUAAAUGAAGAGCUAAUCACUUGGUCCUAC